CCUUCAUUUCAUUGUUUUACGUUUUCGUUUUUAUUCUGUAGUUAGUUAAAAUUUAUAUCAAUUAUAUGGUUAUUUUUUUUUUUAUAAAUUUACUCUUUGCAAAAAUAUGAAUUUUAUUCUGAAUACUAAGGAUUUUCUUAUACCAGGCAGAUAAACUUAGUCGUAUUUCAGUUUGGCACAACUUUUUGGAAUUUUGGCUUCAAUAACUAUUAGCUUGUCGUAAUGUUCUAUUGUAUUGUUUAUUUGUGUGUUUCUUUGUCCUGUAUGUUCUUCCAUUUAUUUCUGUUGUAGUCCUGUCAUGUAAUGAUGUCGUUUUAGUGUUAUAUAUACCAUUGCCAUUAAAGCGGGAGGUAUGGUUAGCCACAAAAUCAGGUUCAACCUACCAAUUUUUUGUUUAAAUGUCCUGUACCAAGUCCGGAAAAUGGCUAUUGUUGUCUUAGUUCGUUUCUGUGUGUGUUGCAUUUUAGUGUUUCUGGUAUUUUGUUAUUCUCCUCUUAUAUUUGAUGUGUUUCCCUCAGAUUUAGUUUGUAACCCGGAUUUGGUUUUUUUUUUCUCAAUCGAUUUAUGAAUUUCGAAUAGCGGUACACUAUACUGCUGUCUUUAUUUAUGUCUACCGGUCAACGAAAGAUAACUUAAAAAGGUCCGACCUUUUGGUUAUACUAUGUUUUGCAGGCCCGUAGCCAGGAAUUUCCAAGGAAGGGGGAGGGUAUUUGGACUCGAGAACUCAACUUUAACAGUCACAAUUUAAACAGAAGGUUGACUUUAACUGUGCUUAUUUUUUUAAAGGGGGUCCCCUGGCUACGGGUUUGUUUUGAAUAUAAUUAAACAAUCACAUACUGCAUUACAAAAUGUUCAAUCGGUUCAAGUGUAGAUGAAGAAAAGGAAAAUUACGGGGCAGUGCAUAGCCUUAAUUCCCACUAGAUAUGAAAUGAAUAAGUAAGUAUUUGGAAGAAGUAGCAACUUAUAGAUAGUUAUAGAUCCUUACAUAAACUUUGAGCGUACCCGUGGAAACCCCUCGGUGAUAACUCUAACACACAUAUAUAGUACGGUAAAGCUAUCUAUUCUAAGCUAUGCAUUUAACUGAAAACAACUCCGAAAACAUUUACUUUUAAAGAC
Molecule: long non-coding RNA, 1116 nt
Filed under: Mytilus galloprovincialis (Mediterranean mussel)
Lineage: Eukaryota; Metazoa; Mollusca; Bivalvia; Mytilida; Mytilidae
Source: RNAcentral